AGCUGCUCAGAGCAUUCAACUGGUUUACAAUUUCUGUAAACAGAAGCCAGUCAAGACAAAUAUAAGAAAAAUGCAAGAUAAUGAAAACUGAAGAGCGGCAGAUACAACUUUUUUAGAUAAUGGCUUGAAUUUUAACUUGACAUCAGUCUGAGUUGGCAUAGGGCUUGCAUACUGUUUCAUAUUGAUGCUGCUAGUAGCAAGAGCUUUCCUUCGACCAGAAGGGGAUUCCUGGAAGAUUAAAGAAAAAAAAA
This is a long non-coding RNA of Homo sapiens (human), 251 nucleotides long. The record is from Ensembl. NCBI's taxonomy places the organism in Eukaryota, Metazoa, Chordata, Mammalia, Primates, Hominidae.